CGAGUCUUAACUGGGCGUUAAGUUGCAGGGUAUAGACCCGAAACCCGGUGAUCUAGCCAUGGGCAGGUUGAAGGUUGGGUAACACUAACUGGAGGACCGAACCGACUAAUGUAAGAAUUCGG
This 122-nucleotide ribosomal RNA is filed under the name Escherichia coli. RNAcentral describes it as "partial 23S ribosomal RNA". It matches the Rfam family "Bacterial large subunit ribosomal RNA", at positions 678 to 803 of the family's 2925-position model. The record is from RNAcentral. Lineage: Bacteria; Pseudomonadati; Pseudomonadota; Gammaproteobacteria; Enterobacterales; Enterobacteriaceae.